This 158-nucleotide ribosomal RNA is filed under the name uncultured Helicobacter sp. RNAcentral's name for it is "partial 16S ribosomal RNA". The record is from RNAcentral. Lineage: Bacteria; Pseudomonadati; Campylobacterota; Epsilonproteobacteria; Campylobacterales; Helicobacteraceae.
CAUGGGCAUUUGCGCAUGGGCGCACUCUGAUGCAGCACACGCCGCGUGAAGGAUGACGGCCUUCGGGUUGUAAACUCCUUUUAUUAGGGACGAUUAUGACGGUACCUCUUGGAUUUUCACCCGCUAACUCCCUGCCAGCAGCCCCGGUAAUCAAUCCG